Molecule: ribosomal RNA, 326 nt
Filed under: Vibrio parahaemolyticus
Lineage: Bacteria; Pseudomonadati; Pseudomonadota; Gammaproteobacteria; Vibrionales; Vibrionaceae
Description: bacterial SSU rRNA
Rfam family: Bacterial small subunit ribosomal RNA
Source: RNAcentral
AAAUUGAAGAGUUUGAUCAUGGCUCAGAUUGAACGCUGGCGGCAGGCCUAACACAUGCAAGUCGAGCGGAAACGAGUUGUCUGAACCUUCGGGGAACGAUAACGGCGUCGAGCGGCGGACGGGUGAGUAAUGCCUAGGAAAUUGCCCUGAUGUGGGGGAUAACCAUUGGAAACGAUGGCUAAUACCGCAUGAUGCCUACGGGCCAAAGAGGGGGACCUUCGGGCCUCUCGCGUCAGGAUAUGCCUAGGUGGGAUUAGCUAGUUGGUGAGGUAAGGGCUCACCAAGGCGACGAUCCCUAGCUGGUCUGAGAGGAUGAUCAGCCACAC